AUAGAAAAGGCCCAGGAGAGACAGAAAGAGGCAUACAAGAGGAGGACCAAGAGCGGGACCAAGCGCUUCAGGAUCACACCAGGCAUGGAGGUCCUGAAGAAAAAUGAGAGGAAGCGUGAAAGGCAUGGUCAAACCAUGGAGCCAGAUUGGCCAAAUGUGUUCAGGGUUACUGAGGUUACGGACAAUAACCUUGUGCAGCUGGAGACCUUGGAUGGAAAGCCAUUGAAGACCAGGACACCCUAUGCUUCAGUGUAGCCUGUGCGGAGAAGAUCCCAGGCUGCCUGGCCCACCAAGGAGACUGUGUCCAAUCUAUCUGAGACUGAGUCAGCAGAUUCAGAGUUGGAGGAGGACCCAGUAGAGGACUUGGAUGUUGUCAUCACUAGUGUCCAGCCAGGCCGGGCUUAUCGAGCUUCACUGAGCAAAAGGGUGGAGGACUUCAGGGCCAUGCUCAGCAACCCAAGUACUUGGUUGGAUGACCAUGCUAUGGACCAUGCUCAGGCCCUGCUUAAGGCCAAGUACCCCAACGUCAACGGGCUCUACGCCACCACCUCCCUAGUCUUGCUGUCCACUUUGCCCGAGCCAGCACAAGGGUUUGUACAGAUACUCAAUGUUUCUGCAAAUCACUGGGUUACGGUAAGUGACAUUGGCUGCCAGGGAGGUUCAGUAAACAUUUUUGACUCCCUAGGACACACCAGGACAGAGGUCUUCAUUGAACAGGUCACAGGUCUGCUUGCUUUUCCAGGGAAGAGUGUCCGACAGCAGUGGCCGGACAUACAGCAGCAGGCAGGUGGAUCAGAUUGUGGACUGUUUGCUAUUGCCAACAGUAUUGCUCUCUGCAGCGGUGAGGGUCCCACCACAGUCCAAUACCAUCAAGGACAAAUGUCACCUCUUUUCCUGUUUUCAGGCUGGAGAAGUGCAACUCUUCCCUAGAGCCAUGAGGUCCCCCACUGCCGAGCCAGUCGCCAUUGAUGUGGAUGUGCACUGCCUCUGCAGACGGACCAUCGGGCAAGGAAAAGCACCUCUGGUCCCAUGCAGGAGACAUCGUGACAGGAAGAGUUUACCAUGCAGGGGCCAAAGAAAACCAGGGUCAUCAAGAAUCAGCAUAUUCUGGAAGUGUGGUGCAUCAACCUGAACCUGGAACAAGCUAGACCUGUCACUCAGCGCUUAUAAAUGACAUGCAUCAAGAAACUGCAUUAUCACCUUUUUCAUUUUAUAUUGAAGCAUGAUCAUUACAUAUAAGAUUGUUGUCAAUGUUAGUUGUAUAUCUGAGGCAAAUAAUUGAAUGUUAUUCA
Long non-coding RNA from Gadus morhua (Atlantic cod), 1292 nucleotides. RefSeq lists it as uncharacterized. The record is from RefSeq and is a predicted model, not a curated record. The transcript has 5 exons. NCBI's taxonomy places the organism in Eukaryota, Metazoa, Chordata, Actinopteri, Gadiformes, Gadidae.